RNAcentral lists this transfer RNA (67 nucleotides) under uncultured Succiniclasticum sp. It matches the Rfam family "tRNA", at positions 6 to 65 of the family's 71-position model. From Rfam's summary of the family: Transfer RNA (tRNA) molecules are approximately 80 nucleotides in length. Their secondary structure includes four short double-helical elements and three loops (D, anti-codon, and T loops). The record is from RNAcentral. Lineage: Bacteria; Bacillati; Bacillota; Negativicutes; Acidaminococcales; Acidaminococcaceae.
CGUAGCUCAGCUGGAUAGAGCGUUUGGCUACGAACCAAAAGGUCGGGGGUUCGAAUCCCUCCGGGGC